UUCAAAACCAUAUGAAGCCCCGAAAUAACUGUGCAACUUUGCUGCAGAAGGAAGGCCAUGGUAUUGUGAGGCUCCUGAGCUCUACUCUGCACUGGAAGCUAGUUCCCCCAUGGUAGACAGAAGAAAGUCAGAUAGAUUGAAGCCUGCAGGCUCCUGGAGGUAGCAGAAAUGUGAAGUCAUGGCUUGAAGUAGUGAUUGAGCACCUGGUGGGAAGGGGGGGCCAGCCCAGGGGAUCGCAGGUGCAUACAAUGCACCUGAGUGACCAGAAAGGGUGGAGCCAAGAUCCCUGCAUACCUGAGGUCUUCUGAAGGAUCACUGUAGGCAAAUCAUGCCAGAAGCUGUAGAUUGUCACCUGUUGGGGAUAGAAAAGGACACCUUGCACUUGACAGCUUACUUAGACCAGAUGUUUUUAGUUAAGAGUUUUAUACAGUCAGAAACAGGAACGAAGACAGAAG
Molecule: long non-coding RNA, 455 nt
Organism: Gallus gallus (chicken)
Lineage: Eukaryota; Metazoa; Chordata; Aves; Galliformes; Phasianidae
Source: Ensembl